RNAcentral lists this ribosomal RNA (229 nucleotides) under uncultured bacterium. RNAcentral's name for it is "partial 16S ribosomal RNA". It matches the Rfam family "Bacterial small subunit ribosomal RNA", at positions 568 to 796 of the family's 1533-position model. The record is from RNAcentral.
CACGUAGGCGGUCUAUCAAGCGUCUUGUGAAAGCCCCCGGCUCAACCGGGGAAUUGCUGGGCGAACUGGUAGACUUGAGGCAGGUAGAGGCGAGUGGAACUCUUGGUGGAGCGGUGGAAUGCGUAGAUAUCAAGAGGAACGCCGGAGGCGAAAGCGACUCGCUGGGCCUGACCUGACGCUGAUGUGCGAAAGCCAGGGUAGCAAACAGGAUUAGAUACCCUGGUAGUCC